Non-coding RNA from Arachis ipaensis, 149 nucleotides. The record is from RefSeq and is a predicted model, not a curated record. NCBI's taxonomy places the organism in Eukaryota, Viridiplantae, Streptophyta, Magnoliopsida, Fabales, Fabaceae.
ACGCGUACGCAACAAAUGACGCGUACGCGUGGGCGACGCGUACGCAUGACAGAGCCAUGUGUUGUACGUAUCAGAAAAUACUGGGGGCGAUUUCUGGGCUAUUUUUGGCCCAGUUUCAAGCCCUAAAACACUUAUUAGAGAUUACAGAG